This 468-nucleotide ribosomal RNA is filed under the name uncultured bacterium. RNAcentral's name for it is "partial 16S ribosomal RNA". It matches the Rfam family "Bacterial small subunit ribosomal RNA", at positions 28 to 507 of the family's 1533-position model. The record is from RNAcentral.
GACGAACGCUGGCGGCGUGCUUAACACAUGCAAGUCGAACGGAAAGGCCCUGCUUUUGUGGGGUGCUCGAGUGGCGAACGGGUGAGUAACACGUGAGUAACCUGCCCUUGACUUUGGGAUAACUUCAGGAAACUGGGGCUAAUACCGGAUAGGAGCUCCUGCUGCAUGGUGGGGGUUGGAAAGUUUCGGCGGUUGGGGAUGGACUCGCGGCUUAUCAGCUUGUUGGUGGGGUAGUGGCUUACCAAGGCUUUGACGGGUAGCCGGCCUGAGAGGGUGACCGGCCACAUUGGGACUGAGAUACGGCCCAGACUCCUACGGGAGGCAGCAGUGGGGAAUAGUGCACAAUGGGCGGAAGCCUGAUGCAGCAACGCCGCGUGCUGGAUGACGGCCUUCGGGUUGUAAACCGCUUUCGCCUGUGACGAAGCGUGAGUGACGGUAAUGGGUAAAGAAGCACCGGCUAACUACGUG